GUGCACGCUGGCGGUAGGCCUAACACAUGCAAGUCGAACGGCAGCACAGUAAGAGCUUGCUCUUACGGGUGGCGAGUGGCGGACGGGUGAGGAAUACAUCGGAAUCUACUUUUUCGUGGGGGAUAACGUAGGGAAACUUACGCUAAUACCGCAUACGACCUACGGGUGAAAGCAGGGGAUCUUCGGACCUUGCGCGAUUGAAUGAGCCGAUGUCGGAUUAGCUAGUUGGCGGGGUAAAGGCCCACCAAGGCGACGAUCCGUAGCUGGUCUGAGAGGAUGAUCAGCCACACUGGAACUGAGACACGGUCCAGACUCCUACGGGAGGCAGCAGUGGGGAAUAUUGGACAAUGGGCGCAAGCCUGAUCCAACCAUACCGCGUGGGUGAAGAAGGCCUUCGGGUUGUAAAGCCCUUUUGUUGGGAAAGAAAAGCAGCAGGUUAAUACCCCGCUGUUCUGACGGUACCCAAAGAAUAAGCACCGGCUAACUUCGUG
Molecule: ribosomal RNA, 491 nt
Filed under: uncultured bacterium
Lineage: Bacteria
Description: partial 16S ribosomal RNA
Rfam family: Bacterial small subunit ribosomal RNA
Source: RNAcentral